Molecule: long non-coding RNA, 1319 nt
Organism: Bos taurus (domestic cattle)
Lineage: Eukaryota; Metazoa; Chordata; Mammalia; Artiodactyla; Bovidae
Source: Ensembl
CUCCUGUGUCUCCUGCAUUGCAGGCAGAUGCUUUACCACUGAACCACCAGGGAAGCCCACAUUGAGGGGUAUCCCUUCUUAACAGGCAAGAUUUAAUGAUGACACCUGCAGCAUCAGCUGUGAGAUUUCUUUGUGAGCGGGCAGUUAGGAUUUAUUGCAAGACUAUUGGAAUUAGGGAGGUAACUAAAAAGGUAAAUGACCUUGUAAGGAGACGGGGGUGGUGUCUGUAUUCCCGGCUAUCUGUGUUCCCAGGGCCAGAAAUGCAGACACCAAACAGCGAGCAAGGAGGAAAAGCCUGAUUUCCAGAGGGCGCGCAGUGUCCCCAGUAAUGAAGCCUGACGAGAGGUCUCCUGCUUGCCCAGAGCCGGCUGUUGUCCUAAAAAUGCAAACCAUCGCCUCGGGCCAUGCAAUCGGGAACAGGCAGAGGACAGAGGCUCCGGCUGGGCGCCCCACUGCUCGCCCUCCCUUCAGCACUCCCGACUUGGACGUAGAAAGCUGGUCUUUACCCUUGUACAUAAGGACACAAGAAAGGGAUUUUUUUUUUAAGGUGUCCCAGAGGCCGAUGGUUUUAAUCCUGACUUUAUUUUAUUUUUUUUUUUUGCUGAGCAGAUACUAAAGCCGGGGGAGGUGGGGAUUGCCUACUACCAAUCCUCGAGUCCUCGUGUGUUUUCUCAUGCAAAAUAAGCCCUUUGAACUUGAAAGCUGCAUUUGCGCCUGGCUCCCCAGUGCCUCUCUCCCCUGCGCCUGCAUCCUCUUUGUUUUCUCUAGAGUGUAGGCGAGUCCAUCGCAUCCUCCCUCGGCCAGCCUUUUAUUUUAUUUUUUUAAAAGGCUGGCUCGUUAAUAAUCGAUGGGCCGGGCAGACCCCUCGCCCCACCUCAGAAACCCUGGCCUGGAGGGUGACCCCUCAGGAGGCCGGAGACUGCACCGAUAUCCACAUACGCGCUGGAAGCAGGCCGGGCCUGGAGCAUCUCUGCCUGGGCCCCUUGGCCUGGCAGGUGGAUUCCUCCCUUUCUGCAGUGUUGGUUGGUUUGUGGCUUGUUUUUGUUUUGAACUCUUGCCUUCAGGGCUUCCCUGCUGGUCCUGAGGCUGCAGAGGCAUCCUUGACCCUGGAGGACCGUGUCUGGGAAGGCUCUCAUCCCCUGCCUCUGAGGGUCUUUGUUGUUCACCACUCACAUUGCAAAAAUCCCCCCUCCUCCUCCCCCUCAUCAACCUCCUUGGAAGCAAACCUCGAAGUUGGAAAAAAAAAAAUGCACUUUUCCUUGUGUUUUUAGGCAUCAAUUAUUUCUAUGGAAUUCUUGACAGACAACAAACAAUUAAAA